RNAcentral lists this ribosomal RNA (409 nucleotides) under uncultured Pseudomonadota bacterium. RNAcentral's name for it is "bacterial SSU rRNA". It matches the Rfam family "Bacterial small subunit ribosomal RNA", at positions 63 to 474 of the family's 1533-position model. Lineage: Bacteria; Pseudomonadati; Pseudomonadota. The record is from RNAcentral.
CGAACGGCAGCGGGCUCUUCGGAGUGCCGGCGAGUGGCAAACGGGUGAGUAAUACAUCGGAACAUGCCCAGUAGUGGGGGAUAGCUCGGCGAAAGCCGAAUUAAUACCGCAUACGACCUUCGGGUGAAAGGGGGGGAUCUUCGGACCUCUCGCUAUUGGAGUGGCCGAUGGCUGAUUAGUUUGUUGGUGGGGUAACGGCCUACCAAGACUGCGAUCAGUAGCUGGUCUGAGAGGACGAUCAGCCACACUGGGACUGCGACACGGCCCAGACUCCUACGGGAGGCAGCAGUGGGGAAUCUUGGACAAUGGGCGAAAGCCUGAUCCAGCAAUGCCGCGUGUGCGAUGAAGGCUUUCGGGUUGUAAAGCACUUUUAUCAGGGAAGAAAUGGUUUGGGAUAAUACCUCAAAUA